UUAGCUAGUUGGUGGGGUAAGAGCCCACCAAGGCAGAGAUCGGUAGCCGGCCUGAGAGGGCACACGGCCACACUGGCACUGAAACACGGGCCAGACUCCUACGGGAGGCAGCAGUGGGGAAUCUUGCACAAUGGGGGAAACCCUGAUGCAGCGACGCCGCGUGAGCGAUGAAGCCCUUCGGGGUGUAAAGCUCUUUCGUCAGGGAAGAUAGUGACGGUACCUGGAGAAGCAGCUGCGGCUAACUACGUGCCAGCAGCCGCGGUAAUACGUAGGCAGCAAGCGUUGUUCGGAGUUACUGGGCGUAAAGGGUGUGUAGGCGGUUCCUUAAGUUUGCUGUGAAAUCUCCCGGCUUAACCGGGAGGGUGCGGUGAAUACUGAGGGACUAGAGUACGGGAGA
This 397-nucleotide ribosomal RNA is filed under the name uncultured soil bacterium. Its description in RNAcentral is "bacterial SSU rRNA". It matches the Rfam family "Bacterial small subunit ribosomal RNA", at positions 241 to 655 of the family's 1533-position model. The record is from RNAcentral.